Molecule: long non-coding RNA, 540 nt
Filed under: Olea europaea (common olive)
Lineage: Eukaryota; Viridiplantae; Streptophyta; Magnoliopsida; Lamiales; Oleaceae
Description: long non-coding RNA (OEUR_LNC007248)
Source: RNAcentral
AUAAAGGGCCCAUUGAAUGUAUUUCCCUCUAUAUAUUGCAUGAGUUUGAAGCCAUUUAGGUCAUGAAAUACAGCCUGUUAAAAUGGCGAAGAAAAUGCUUCUGUUAUCAGCCAUGUUUAUUUUGCUGAUGAUUUAUUCUCUGGGACUUGCCUCUGGUGAUAACCGCCUCCUGAGAGGGAUGAAGAAAAUGAGAAAGGAGUUGCCAUUGCCGGAGAAGAAAGUGGAAUUCCUGCAUGGCAUGUAUAAAAAUGGAAGUUUGAUGCAACACAGAAAAGAGAUAAGAGAGAAAUCCAAACACAAAUUGGUUGCAAAAUUGGAAGGUUCAAGGCCAACAGCUCCAGGGCAUAGCCCAGGCAUAGGACAUCAUUAAUAAUUGAAUUUCUGAGGAAUAAAAAUUCAGAAUUUCGAGCUUUUGUUCUUGUCAAGAAUAUGUGAUGUAAAUUAGCGGGUUUUGUACGUGUGGAGUAAAAUAAUUAGUGUGACUUUCUGUAUAAUAUCAAAUGGUAUGUAAUUAAAAAUUUAUAUAUUUUGGUCAUAAAA